Molecule: ribosomal RNA, 464 nt
Filed under: uncultured bacterium
Lineage: Bacteria
Description: bacterial SSU rRNA
Rfam family: Bacterial small subunit ribosomal RNA
Source: RNAcentral
GGGGAGGCAGCAGUGGGGGAAUAUUGCACAAUCGGGCGCAAGCCUGAUGCAGCCAUGCCGCGUGUGUGAAGAAGGCCUUCGGGUUGUAAAGCACUUUCAGUCGUGAGGAAGGUAGUGUAGUUAAUAGCUGCAUUAUUUGACGUUAGCGACAGAAGAAGCACCGGCUAACUCCGUGCCAGCAGCCGCGGUAAUACGGAGGGUGCGAGCGUUAAUCGGAAUUACUGGGCGUAAAGCGCAUGCAGGUGGUUUGUUUAAGUCAGAUGUGAAAGCCCGGGGCUCAACCUCGGAAUAGCAUUUGAAACUGGCAGACUAGAGUACUGUAGAGGGGGGUAGGAAUUUUCAGGUGUAGCGGUGAAAUGCGUAGAGAUCUGAAGGAAUACCGGUGGCGAAGGCGGCCCCCUGGACAGAUACUGACACUCAGAUGCGAAAGCGUGGGGAGCAAACAGGAUUAGAUACCCUGGUAG